Microcebus murinus (gray mouse lemur) is the source of this 885-nucleotide non-coding RNA. The record is from RefSeq and is a predicted model, not a curated record. Lineage: Eukaryota; Metazoa; Chordata; Mammalia; Primates; Cheirogaleidae.
CACCACGCGCCGGGAGUGGAGGUCACAGAGAUCACAAAGGGAUCGGGAGCUCCGCCCUCUGGCCCCGGGACUGCAGGAUGAGGGAAGUUCCCGGCGGUGGCUUGGGGGAGGGAGGGCUACAGCAUCUUGGACAUUCUGACAGCAGUCGCCUCUACACUCGAGUCCCUGACCUCAGGCCCUCGCGGUCCCCUCUGCUUCGCCACUGGGAGAGAUUCUGCAGCUGACCACCUACACGUAAAGUGGCGGGAGAUCCACGCAGCGUGGACACUGACAAGCACGUGGCAGUGAUGAAACCCUUCAACGUCAGCGCUCUUUUCCCAGUUUCACGGCCACAGCUCUGUGGGUCAGCAAUCCAGCGAGGCGCACAGCAGCCCUGCAACGGAGGAGCAGCAGUCCAGGGAGGUGAAACGACCUGCUUGAAGGCUCCGAGUCCGAAAGAGGAGGAGGAGGAGGAGGGAGGGCUCAGCGCCGGCCAGCCAGCAUCAGGGAUGCUGCCCCGACUCCGCUGGGACACGUGGGGAGAUCCAGGCCCCUCCCCCUGACCUUGCUCUCUGCCCGCCGGGAAGUGGGGAGCUUGGGGGGAGCAACCUCAGCGCGUCCCUGGGACAGUCUCCACUUGGGGGCACGCCCUGGGGUGUUGCUUCUUUGGGAGGUCGGUGGCCUUGAACUCUGUGCUAAGGGGCCCGGGCCUGAGAAAAGCCCGGUAGACUUGGAAGCCUUUGCCCGACUUGGAUGGAAAGCGGAGCAAAGGAGCCCGAGGGACCGGGUGCAAGGCCAGGACCAGUUCCUCGCCCGCGGGGACCGGGCCCGAGGAGCCGCGGGGAGGAAUCCUUCCCGGCCCGCAGCCGGGGACGCAGUGAGGCCCGGGGCGGGGCGGCCCCUCCC